Molecule: ribosomal RNA, 253 nt
Filed under: uncultured bacterium
Lineage: Bacteria
Description: partial 16S ribosomal RNA
Rfam family: Bacterial small subunit ribosomal RNA
Source: RNAcentral
UACGUAGGUGGCAAGCGUUACUCGGAAUUACUAGGCGUAAAGCGCAGGUAGGCGGUUGGAUAAGUUUCUUGUGAAAGCUCCCGGCUUAACUGGGAGAGGCCAAGGAAUACUAUCUGACUUGAGUAUGGUAGGGGUAACUGGAAUUCCCGGUGUAGCGGUGAAAUGCGUAGAUAUCGGGAGGAAUACCUAUGGCGAAGGCAGGUUACUGGGCCACAACUGACGCUGAGGCGCGAAAGCUAGGGGAGCAAACAGG